CUGACACCGCUGCCAUUUGUGGCGCCGGGAGAGCCGGGCGGCGGGAGCUGGGGCUCGCCGGCUUGCUCCAGUUGGGCCGGUGGCUCUCGGGCUCCUGCAGUCGGGCUGCUGCCCGCGGUGACCCAGGUACUCGCCGAAGGGUGGACUGCCACCAGUUCCUGUGGCCGGGACGGAUUCUGGUGCCUUCUGGCGAAGACUGGGCAGGGUUCCGUCCUGACUUCCGAAGCGGAGUGGAGAGGAGGGGACCCGGGGCGCGCAGCGCGGGCAGGUGGCAGUGGGCGAAGCUCCUUCGGCUCCGUGUGGGAGACCCGGGGGAACGAAGGGAGAAUGCCGCGCGGAAGGGGCCUGUGUGAUGCGCUGCCGGUGGGGAACUAGCCAGAUCACCUGGGAGCGAGGGUGCUGCCUUUCCGCCCUUUUGGGAAAACAUCAUCAAGUCGAGAUGCAAGUGUUGGGAGACCUGAGAACUCGGUAGCGCAGACGUGGUAACCGUGGGUUUUUAGGGGAGCAUCCGAUACUUUUUAAAAUGAGUAUCCAGAAGAUCAAGUCAGUUAAAACCGGAGCCAAAUGACUAUUCUAACUAAAAGAUUGUCAUUUCUUACAACUCCCUGAGGUUACUGUAGGUGUAAAAUCAGUUUUUUUAAAAAAAUCUAUUUCUGUGCCCCUUCCUCCAGCCAGCCCGGCAUGUAAGUAUGCUCCGUGUGGGGUGGUCACCCCCCUUGAGCACCACCAUUCGUAUCUCACUGAAGUCUCCCUCACCCUUUGCAGCGCGCAGACCAGUAAUUCCAGUAUCUGAGAUCUCAGCGGACCAACUGUGGGGUGACAUGGCCCAGGGGAAUAAUUACACGCAGACCAGCAACGGGGUCGCAGACGAAUCACCCAACAUGCUGGUGUACAGAAAGGAUAGCCAUCGCACUUCCGGUGUCACUCAUAUGUUUGGUGGCCCAGUGAUGGACACAGAGCCGCUGGGUACAGCUGCUGGGACACCAAGAAGCUCUUGAUUUUCGUGCGUCACAGACCUGUGAGCUGACUCCACAGUGUGUGAUGGAAACGAGACAGUCCUGAAACGACCAAGUCCAGAUAAAGCGCGA
This 1088-nucleotide long non-coding RNA is filed under the name Ursus americanus (American black bear). RNAcentral describes it as "lncRNA (ENSUAMG00000004635.1)". Lineage: Eukaryota; Metazoa; Chordata; Mammalia; Carnivora; Ursidae. The record is from RNAcentral.